This 900-nucleotide ribosomal RNA is filed under the name Opegrapha niveoatra. RNAcentral's name for it is "SSU rRNA". It matches the Rfam family "Bacterial small subunit ribosomal RNA", at positions 370 to 1294 of the family's 1533-position model. Lineage: Eukaryota; Fungi; Ascomycota; Arthoniomycetes; Arthoniales; Opegraphaceae. The record is from RNAcentral.
AAUAGUCUAACGGCUGAACCAGCAAUUUGGAGGAACGUAAGGGAAAAGGGUGUGUUAUAAAUACACUUUUUUCUAGUGGUUUAUCCGCAUAAAGUUCUAGAUAAAGACUGAUAAUGACAAUCUUUCAUCUAUAAGUCUUGACAAAAUCACGUGCCAGCAGUCGCGGUAAUACGGGAAAGACGAGUGUUAUUCAUCUUUAAUGGGUUUAAAGGGUACCUAGACAGCUUAUUUAACUCGAAAGGGCACACAUAAGCUAGAGUUUAAUGUAAGAGGUAUGUCAGUACUAUCGGUGUAGAGAUAAAAUUCUGUAAUACUGUGGGGCACUGGUAACGGCGAAGGCAAACCUUUAUGUAAAAACUGACGUUGAGGGACGAAGGCUUGGGUAACAAACAGGAUUAGAUACCCUAAUAGUCCAGGCAGAAAAUGAUGAGUGCCAUAGGUUAGAUAUAUUUUGAUCUAUAAAUGAAAGUGUAAGCAUUCCACCUCAAGAGUAAUGUGGCAACGCAGGAACUGAAAUCAUUAGACCGUUUCUGAAACCAGUAGUGAAGUAUGUUGUUUAAUUCGAUGAUCCGCGAAUAAUCUUACCACAGUUUGUAUAUUAUACUAAUUUGUAUUUCUCUAUUAAAAUAUAAUAAUUAGAAAUAUAAGUUGCUUUUAAUACAGGUGCUGCAUGGCUGUCUUUAGUUAAUGUCGUGAGACGCAGGUUAGAUCCAGAAAUUAACGUAAACCCUUGCAUCAUUUAUAAAUGAUGUAGUUCCCCGCUAUAUUGGAAAGACAAUAGGGAUCAAGACAAGUACUCAUGGUCCUAAUACUGUGGGCUAUAGACGUGCCACAUUUGCCUAAUACAAAAAGAUGCAAAGAUGCAAAUAGUAAGCUAAUCUUUAAAAUAGGUAAUAAAAU